ACGAGUGGCGAACGGGUGAGUAAUACAUCGGAACGUGCCCAGUCGUGGGGGAUAACACUCGAAAGAGUAGCUAAUACCGCAUACGAUCUGAGGAUGAAAGCGGGGGACCUUCGGGCCUCGCGCGAUUGGAGCGGCCGAUGGCAGAUUAGGUAGUUGGUGGGAUAAAAGCUUACCAAGCCGACGAUCUGUAGCUGGUCUGAGAGGACGACCAGCCACACUGGGACUGAGACACGGCCCAGACUCCUACGGGAGGCAGCAGUGGGGAAUUUUGGACAAUGGGCGAAAGCCUGAUCCAGCAAUGCCGCGUGCAGGAUGAAGGCCUUCGGGUUGUAAACUGCUUUUGUACGGAACGGAAAAAGCUUCUCCUAAUACGAGAGGCCCAUGACGGUACCGUAAGA
This 398-nucleotide ribosomal RNA is filed under the name bacterium CYB35. RNAcentral's name for it is "bacterial SSU rRNA". It matches the Rfam family "Bacterial small subunit ribosomal RNA", at positions 91 to 485 of the family's 1533-position model. The record is from RNAcentral.